RNAcentral lists this ribosomal RNA (232 nucleotides) under uncultured bacterium. RNAcentral's name for it is "partial 16S ribosomal RNA". It matches the Rfam family "Bacterial small subunit ribosomal RNA", at positions 99 to 334 of the family's 1533-position model. The record is from RNAcentral.
CGGACGGGUGAGUAAUGUCUGGGAAACUGCCCGAUGGAGGGGGAUAACUACUGGAAACGGUAGCCAAUACCGCAUAACGUCGCAAGACCAAAGAGGGGGACCUUAGGGCCUCUUGCCAUCGGAUGUGCCCAGAUGGGAUUAGCUAGUAGGUGGGGUAACGGCUCACCUAGGCGACGAUCCCUAGCUGGUCUGAGAGGAUGACCAGCCACACUGGAACUGAGACACGGCCCAG